Molecule: ribosomal RNA, 773 nt
Filed under: Chicoreus brunneus
Lineage: Eukaryota; Metazoa; Mollusca; Gastropoda; Neogastropoda; Muricidae
Description: partial 16S ribosomal RNA
Rfam family: Bacterial large subunit ribosomal RNA (bases 1-585)
Source: RNAcentral
GGCUCCUUGUAUAAUAUUAAAUAGGGAGUCGGACCUGCCCGGUGAAGUUUUUAAACGGCCGCGGUACUCUGACCGUGCAAAGGUAGCAUAAUCAUUUGCCUUAUAACUGAAGGCUAGUAUGAAUGGUUUGACAAGAGUGUAACUGUCUCUUUACAAUUAAUUAAAAUUUUAUUUUCAGGUGAAGAAGCCUGUAUGUAAUUGAAAGACAAGAAGACCCUAUCGAGCUUAAAAAGAAUUAAUAAACCUAAUUUCCAAUAAGAUAUUAGAUCUGUUUAUUAUAUACUUUAGUUGGGGCGACUAAGGAACAAUUAAAGCUUCCUUUAUUAUAAAAACUAAACUGACAAGUUUUGAUCCAAAAGCUUUGAUUAAAGAAAUUAGUUACCGUAGGGAUAACAGCAUUAUUCUCUUUGAGAGCUCUUAUCGAAAAGAGAGUUUGUGACCUCGAUGUUGGACCAGAAUGUCCUAAAGAUGCAGCCGUCUUUAAGGGUUGGUCUGUUCGACCAUUAAAAUUCUACGUGAUCUGAGUUCAGACCGGCGUGAGCCAGGUCAGUUUCUAUCUUCAAUUAAAUUAAUAAACUUAGUACGAAAGGACCAGAUUAUUGCAAACAUUAUUGUUGAUACGCAGAUUAAAUAUAAUUAGUUUAUUAAAACUUAAAUCUAACAGAAUUAGAUCAAAUUAGCAAAGAUAAUGCAAUUGACUUAGGAUCAAUAGACAUAGGUGAAAUCCCUUUAUUUGAUAUAUUAUAUAGCAUAAAUAAAGGUGGCAGAAUAAA